Molecule: long non-coding RNA, 36482 nt
Filed under: Triticum aestivum (bread wheat)
Lineage: Eukaryota; Viridiplantae; Streptophyta; Magnoliopsida; Poales; Poaceae
Description: long non-coding RNA (TAES_LNC017359)
Rfam family: MIR1120/MIR1122 microRNA precursor family (bases 30977-31111)
Source: RNAcentral
AUUUUGUUUUUCCUUUUCUUCUUCCUUUUCUUCUUCCUUUUCUUUUUCCUUUUCUUAUUUUGUUUUUCCUUUUCUUCUGUUUUGGUUUCUUUUGCAUUGGUUUCUUUUGUUUUGUUUUCUUUGUUUUUCUUUUUGGUUUUCAUUUGGUUUCUUUCUUCUUCCUUUUUUCUUCUUUUUUUCUUNNNNNNNNNNNNNNNNNNNNNNNNNNNNNNNNNNNNNNNNNNNNNNNNNNNNNNNNNNNNNNNNNNNNNNNNNNNNNNNNNNNNNNNNNNNNNNNNNNNNNNNNNNNNNNNNNNNNNNNNNNNNNNNNNNNNNNNNNNNNNNNNNNNNNNNNNNNNNNNNNNNNNNNNNNNNNNNNNNNNNNNNNNNNNNNNNNNNNNNNNNNNNNNNNNNNNNNNNNNNNNNNNNNNNNNNNNNNNNNNNNNNNNNNNNNNNNNNNNNNNNNNNNNNNNNNNNNNNNNNNNNNNNNNNNNNNNNNNNNNNNNNNNNNNNNNNNNNNNNNNNNNNNNNNNNNNNNNNNNNNNNNNNNNNNNNNNNNNNNNNNNNNNNNNNNNNNNNNNNNNNNNNNNNNNNNNNNNNNNNNNNNNNNNNNNNNNNNNNNNNNNNNNNNNNNNNNNNNNNNNNNNNNNNNNNNNNNNNNNNNNNNNNNNNNNNNNNNNNNNNNNNNNNNNNNNNNNNNNNNNNNNNNNNNNNNNNNNNNNNNNNNNNNNNNNNNNNNNNNNNNNNNNNNNNNNNNNNNNNNNNNNNNNNNNNNNNNNNNNNNNNNNNNNNNNNNNNNNNNNNNNNNNNNNNNNNNNNNNNNNNNNNNNNNNNNNNNNNNNNNNNNNNNNNNNNNNNNNNNNNNNNNNNNNNNNNNNNNNNNUAAAAAAAAUCAGAAAAAUAAAACUAAUUCAUUUUAAAAUCUUAAAAAUACAAAUAAUAUAUCAAAAAAUCAGAAAAAUAAAACUAAUUCAUUUUAAAAUCUUGAAAAUACAAAUAAUAUAUCAAAAAAAAUCAGGAAAAUAAAACUAAUUCAUUUUAAAAUCUUAAAAAUACAAAUAAUAUAUCAAAAAAAUCAGUUCAUCGAUCCCUUGAAGGUUUGACAAAAGGUUUGAUACAUCAUUCAGUUCAUCGACCAAAUACAAAUCAUCCGGAUUCGCCAUCGUACGUUUUAAUUCACAUGCUCCAUUCAACAAAGUUUGGUACAAUAAAUUAUUACACAUCAAUUCUUCCCUUGUGUCCCUGCUUGCUUACGAUUGUGCCGUAUCCAUGGAGCAUCCUCAUCAUUUAACUUAAUGCUUGGGUCAGUGUUCACUUUGAAGGGCGGAAUUUCACCAAACAUAUUAUAAUCUUCUGACAUGUCUGUCUUGUCCUCCACUCCCACGAUGUUUCUUUUCCCUGAAAGAACAAUGUGACGCUUUGGAUCAUCGCAUGAUGUACUGAUCGUUUUCUUAUCUUUCCGUUUCCUCGGUUUGCUACUCAUGUCCUUCAAAUAAAAAACCUGAGCGACAUCUUUGGCAAGGACGAAUGGUUCGUCAAGGUAACCAAGAUUGUUGAAAUCCACCAUUGUCAUUCCGUAUUGCUCGUCCACCUUUACCCCACCUCCUGUUAGCUUGAACCAUUUGCACCGGAACAAAGGGACCUUAAAGGAGGGUCCAUAGUCAAGUUCCAAUAUCUCCUCUAUGUAACCAUAAUAUGUGACCUUUCGCCCAUUCUCGGUUGCUGCAUCAAAGCGGAUACCACUGUUUUGGUUGGUGCUCUUUUUAUCUUGGGCGAUGGUGUAAAAUGUAUUCCCAUUUAUCUCGUACCCUUGGAAAAUCGUUAUAGUCGAAGAUGGUUUCUUGGCCAACAUGUACAGCUGAUCUCCAACAUCAUUGUCAUUCAUUAAAUGUUUUCGCAACCAACUGCCGAAAGUCUCCAUGUGGGCCUUUCUAAUCCAGGAUUCAGGCUUCCCCGGGUUGUCCGAGCGUAAAAUAUUCUUGUUUUGCUCGAAGUACGGAGCCACAAAGCUGGAAUUUUGCAGAAUUGUGUGGUCUGCUUCAGUCAUAGAAUGACCGUCCAAACAUAUCGGGGAUUUCCUUCCGAUCUAGCCUUUUCCACUUAGUCUCCCCUCGUGCCGCGAUUGAGGAAUACCAAUCGGCUUAAGGUCAGGAACAUAGUCAAUACAGAACUCAAUUACCUACUCAUUUCCAUAGCCCUUGACGAUGCUUCCUUCUGGCCUAGCACGGUUACGAACAUAUUUCUUUAAUACUCCCAUGAACCUCUCAAAGGGGAACAUAUUGUGUAGAAAUACAGGACCGAGAAUGGAAAUCUCUUCGACUAGGUGGAGCAGGAGGUGCGUCAUAAUAUCGAAGAAGGAUGGUGGGAACACCAACUCGAAACUGACAAGGCAUUGGACCACAUCGUUCUGUAACCGUGGUAGAUCUUCUGGAUUGAUUACCUUCUGAGAGAUUGCAUUGAGGAAUGCACAUAGCUUCACAAUGGCUACUCGAACAUUUUCCGGUAGGAGCCCCCUCAAAGCAAUCGGAAGCAAUUGCGUCAUAAUCACGUGGCAGUCGUGAGACUUCAGGUUUUGGAACUUUUUCUCCGCCAUGUUUAUUAUUCCCUUUAUAUUCGACGAGAAGCCAGACGGGACCUUCAUACUGCUCAGGCAUUAAAAAAAAUGACCUUCUCUUCUUUGGUAAGAGCGUAGCUGGCACGACCUUGAAACCAUUCCGGAUGCCGGUCAUCUGGGUCUUUCAAAAGUUGCUGGUCCUGCCGUGCUUCCUUUGUAUCAUUUGUCUUCCCAUACACGCCCAAGAAGCUUAGCAGGUUCACGCAAAUAUUCUUCGUAACAUGCAUCACGUCGAUUGCAGAGCGGACAUCUAGGACUUUCCAAUAUUCUAGCUCCCAAAAUAUAGAUUUCUUCUUCCACAUGGGUGCGUGCCCGUCAACUCCCCGCGGAACUGAUUGUCCGCCAGGACCCUUUCCAAAGAUGACUUUCAAAUCCUUGACCAUAUCAAAUAUCUCAGCACCAGUACGUUCCGCAGGCUUCGGCCGGUGAUCUGCCUUGCCGUUGUAAUGCUUGCCUUUCUUUCUUACGUUAUGAUUUCGGGGAAGAAAUCGACGAUGACCCAGGUACACGUUCUUCUUACAAUUAACCAAACGUACACUUUCAGUCUCAUGUAAGCAGUGUGUGCAUGCAUUGUAUCCCUUAUUUGUCUGUCCCGAAAGGUUACUGAGAGCAGGCCAAUCGUUGAUGGUUACAAAAAGCAACGCUCGUAGGUCAAAUUCCUCUCCUUUGUGCUCAUCCCAGACACUUACACCAGGUCUGGCCCACAACUGUAAAAGUUCAUCAACUAAUGGCCUUAGGUACACAUCGAUGUCGUUCCCGGGUUGCUUUGGACCUUGGAUGAGCACUGGCAUCAUAAUGAACUUCCGCUUCAUGCACAACCAAGGAGGAAGGUUGUAGAUGCAUAGAGUCACGGGCCAGGUGCUAUGGCUGGAGCUCUGCUCGCCAAAAGGAUUCAUGCCAUCAGUACUUAGACCAAAUCUUAUGUUCCUUGCGUCAGCUGCAAAAUCUUUGAACACUCUGUCGAUCUUUCUCCAUUGCAUUCCAUCAGCGGGGUGUCUCAACUCCCCGUCGGACUUACGGUCCUCUUUGUGCCAUCGCAACGACUUGGCAUGCUUUUUGUUCAUGAACAGACGUUUCAACCGUGGUAUUAUAGGAGCAUACCACAUCACCUUGGCGGGAACCCUCUUCCUGGGUUUCUCGCCCUCAACAUCGUCACCAGGGUCAUCGCUCUGAUCUUAUAACGCAAUGCAGUGCAUACAGGGCAUUCAUUCAAAUUCUCGUAUUCACCGCGGUAGAGGAUGCAGUCGUUAAUGCAUGCAUGUAUCUUCAGAACCUCUAAACCUAGAGGGCAGACAACCUUCUUUGCUUCGUACGUACUGGCGGGCAACUCGUUAUUCUUCGGAAACAUAUUCUUCAACAUUUUCAGCAAAUUUUCAAAUGAUGAGUCACCUACACCUUCCUGUGCCUUCCAUUUUAACAAAUCCAGUGUGCAGCCCAGCUUUUUCAGGCUAUUAUCGCAUCCUGGAUACAACGAAUUUUUGUGAUCCUCUAACAUGCGAUCCAAAUUCUCCCUAUCCUUGUCAGUUUCGCAGCGUCUCCGUGCAUCAGCAAUGGUCCGACCAAGAUCAUCAGCGGGCUCAUCAUGUGCCUCUUCUUCACCUUCACCUAACCCUUCCCCACCUUCAGCAUCAUCCUCCAUGAAAGUAUCACCGAAAUGAUCAUGAUAGUUGUCAUCGAUAUCAUCCCCUUCUUCAUCUUCUUCCAUUCUAACCCCUCUUUCUCCAUGCUUGGUCCAACAAUUAUAGCUUGGCAUGAAACCGUGCCGAAGCAGGUGCAUGUGAACGUCUCUUGAGGAGGAGUAACCCUUCUGAUUCUUACAGACAGCACAUGGACAGAUAAUAAAACCUUGCUGCUUGUUCGCAUUUGCCACUACGAGAAAAUCUUUCAAACCCGUAGUGAACUCGCCGGAGAGUCGGGGACCGUACAUCCAUUGCCGAUUCAUCUGCAUUAUUAUUAUAUAAAGUAUAUAAUUAACCAUCAUGCAUUUGUUAAACUAACUAGCUAGAAAUAAUACAAAUUAAACAAUGAACUACACACAUGCGUAUUUUAUCAAUGACACAUGAAAGGUUCAAGUUGCUAACCGCGAUCGCGGAGGAAAAAUAAAUGAGAAAGCUCAAGUGUGGCUCGGACACUUCAUAUCAUGUUUGUUUCAGGCUCUCGGGCAUUUCAUCGAACACCUUGUGUGCAUAGGAGGAACCAAAAGCAAACCCACCACCCCCUUUUGAAAAUUGUGAAGUGAGCUGAGUGAAGUGAAGUGAGCUGAGUCCUAUAUAUAGGGAUGGGCCUUUAGUCCCGGUUGGCCUGGCCAACCGCGACUAAAGGCCUUCGGGGACCUUUAGUCCCGGUUGGCCAGGCCAACCGGGACUAAAGCCCCUCCCGUCCGCCAGCUGGAUGGGCCUUUAGUCCCGGUUGGCCUGGCCAACCGCGACUAAAGGCCUUCGGGGACCUUUAGUCCCGGUUGGCCAGGCCAACCGGGACUAAAGCCCCUCCCGUCCGCCAGCUGUCGACCGAGCGCGCUGGGCCCAGAUAGUUGGUCGCGGGUCUCCUCCCGAACCGCGACUAAAGGCCCCUUUUGUCGCGGUUCGAUUGUUUUGGGGACUAAUGGGGGCGUAUGGAAGCCUCUUUUUCUACUAGUGUGGGCAGCUCUCGGCCAUGAGGACUGCAGUGUGGGAAGUAUUUAGGUUUGAGAAUAUCAAGCGAGAGGGUCCCAGGCUCAAUUUCUUCACACUUGAAAUGCUCUAAUUAAUUUGUCUCGAUAAUAUUAACAACUUACGAACAUUGUUGGCCGUGUUCGUCAGAACUGCAAAUAGAAAAUCAUCUAUUUCAGCAUUUCCUGCAAUCAGGCAACGGACACCGCCGUGGCAUGUCAACAAGGCAAACCGACAUGAGCCAUCUUGUUGGCCUCACCAUGUCAUAAGUCGCCAAGGACACCGCUAUCCUUGGCCGAGAUGGUGGAAUUGUUGUACUUAGGCCGCUUGCCAUCUUCAGAGUAACCUACAUGUGCCCCUUUUUGAUUGCGCGGAGGCCUAGGUAGAACAAGCAGUAUGAUGCGGAAGCCCAGCUUGUUCCAUAUAACACAUUUGUGUAUGCCAAAAGCGCCGACACAGCAACAUGACAGCUCUAGUUACAUGAAUCAUGCAGGCACUUGUUUCUUUCCCUAUGCCUCCCAGUCAUACAUAUUUUCUAGUAUUGUGUUAUUUUCGGGUUCACCGUCAUCCCUCUGUGUUUUUUUAUUGAAACUGAAUUAUCAUAUGAAAGGUUCAAGUUAGAAUUGUGUGGAAGUGUAAACUAUGUAUCAAUAAGAUAUGAUGGGCUUUCUGGAUGCUGAGAUGGGGUCAAAUAUAUAGGAGCGAUAGUGCUAUUUACACAUGUGAAGGUAGGUAGGAAAAUUAAUAAGAUGCGCCAAGUAGAGGUGGCGGUGUGGUCUAUGUACGAAAUGCGAUUUUACCAUUCUAGUAGUUCAGUUUUCGCAAGACUGAGUUAUGACGUCUAGCAUUGUAUCAAGAAAAACAAAUGACUGGAGCAAUUGUUUUCAGAAAUUCUUAUGUUUUGCGUAGCAUGGAGGAACCUGAGUGGUGUAAGCAGCAGCAGUGACUACCGCCUCCAGGCCAUUGCUUUUCCCCUCAUUACUGUUUGUUUGGUAAACGCAUAUUUCUCUCUUCAAGUUCCUUAUUUCUGUUCUCUUCAUGCGUAACUAGCAGGGUGACCCGCGCAUUUGCGCGGCUAGAUUUCCUAUGUGUUUUCAUAGCAAUGAGAUGUUCUGCUGGUCAUGCAGAAUUAUGGAAAAUCUUAUAGACAAAUACAUAUCAUGAAACUCAAUUAUCAUUGUUUGCCAUCGUUUUCUCUUAGUUAUCUUUAGAUAGGAGCUUUUUAUUUACUAACCUAUGUGGCGAUCAUCUUUGACAUAUCUUUCAAAUAAAAAUAUUAUAGUCAAUAUGUAUAUCAUGAUGAAAUACUUUUAUGUGGGGUCAUGAGGAAAUACUUUAUCGUUGUUUUAUUGUGUAUAUUAAGUUUUUGGCAAAAGAUUUGGUAUGUGACAACUAAUGCCAAGCACUAUGCUCUACGCAUGUCAUGCCAAUCUACAAAGAUUCUGGUUGGAUAGUUUUUUUAGCUUUCAACUUUCCUAUUCUUCUAUUCAAUUGGUGUCUCUCUUAUCCGCCAAAAUAAGAAACUUUCUAAUCAAACUUAAUAUCACUCUGAAUAAUAAAAAUAAUCAUGUGUAUUCAUCAAUAACGACUAAAAUAGGCUCGUCGUUAAACUUUUGUCAUGUGGAUGUAUUUGACAAAGAAACUAAAUAAUAUAUGUGUGCGGUAGUGCUCUAUUUUAUAAAUAUUGGUGUGCCUUUUAUUUCAGUUUAUUCACGGCACAUGUAAAAUCCUAUUGCACGGGUCUUUUAUUUUCCUUGAAGAAUUGUAUUAGCAAGUUUCAUCACUUAAUUAGGAUACUAAUUCCUCUCGAUAUACCAAAUGGUAGCGUGUGAAAAAUGUAAGUCUUCUCGCCGUAACUUUUCCUUCUUUUGUCUUCUUUAUACGAUUUUUUAUGGAAUGAUUCAGUGUGGUAUGGUCUAUAUAAAAUAAUGGACAACGAUACAUCAUAUUCUCGGUCGCUAGUUUCUAAUUAGUUAUAUGGACUGCUGCAAAAAAAGUAAUAUGGAUGCUAUACAAUACAUGCGUUUUUAUUGGAAAUGGAUGGUUGAAUGCACUGGCUAAUUAAACAUUAAAGUGCUAAUUUCCUUGCACAUCCCGACUUCUAGCUUCAUACAUAAUUUGUUUAAUUCUAAGUUCAACGAAUAGCAGAUUCAUUAGAUAUAAUGUCAUUGGAGUUCAUAGAAUAACAAAACAGUUUAUGUUUUACUAAAUAAGAGAUUUAUUUUAUUUAUCCAACUAUUAAAAGUUAUAUUACCGUAGUUUAAACUAAAAAAAUCCAAUUCAUAAUUUCAUAUACACCAUGGUGCACAAUAAUGGUGACGAUCAACAGUUGAGCUAAUUAAUCUGUCAACAUGAAUGAACGUGGAACCUGCGAGGUUCUCACAACCAAUUGAAUUUUGUCCAUGGAACUUGUUUGGCCCUCCGCACUUAUUCUAGAUGUCGAUACUUGUGUAUUGCAUUAAAAAAAUAAAGUCCACGCAGUUAUCCUACACAUAAACUUGGUUGACGCAGAUUUAUUUUUUUGCUUUUACACGAACAUAGCUUUCCUGACCUUCCUUAUUAGUUUGAUAAAGGAAUAAAUCCACUUCCAUUUACGUGGCUAGAUUUUAUAUUUAUUGCUGUUUUGGUUCUGUUUAUAAAAUAACUAUGGUUUCUUGUGAGAACCAAUAUAUUUAUCACUUUUUUUCUUCUGUUUCAUUGUCAUUUACAGGCGUUGUGUGAGUCUAUGAAUAGUGGUGUGAGUGGGUCUGCAUGCUUAAGUUCGUAUCUGGCGUUUUCAAGGAAUGUCAUGUCAUGCCAUGCAAAUAAUAAAUAAUAAUAUGCGUUUACAUGUGAAAAAUAUUUUCUCAUAUUUUCACAUGUAUACUCUAUGAAUUGUUGAUCGGCACAUUCGUUCCAUCAAUCAAGAUAAUUUUCAAACAGGUUUCAACCAUGGUAUUUGCAAGCAAUAUUCUUACUUACCUUGACUUCUCACUUCAAUGUACUCCCGUGGAGUUCCUUGAUACAGUGCACAUCCAUGCACGUCUAAGCUAUAUCAUGUCUUGCUUCUCCGUGCUAAAAUAUCUUGUUCACAUGGUAAUCUGCUCCGGUACUAAUUGGACUUCAAGAGUAAUCUGUUUUGUUUCUGUUGGGAAUAAGUUGGCCCGCCUAUGGACUCCUUUUGCGUAUAUGCUGGCCUUGCCAAUUGGAAUAGGUAGCCGUAUUGACUAUGGACUCUCAUUGUUUUUCCGGAGAUAACUAUAUGUGACUCCUUUUUUUUCCUUGUGCCUAUACGCUGGCUCUGCCCAAGAAAUAGGUGGCCGUAUGGACUCUCUCUGCCUUCCCAAGUCGAGGUCAAUGAAUCAACACCGUUCAAUUAUUAUAACUCUAUAAUUUUGAAUCUCCACCAUCCGUUUUCUAUAGUUUUAAUAAUAUAAUAUAAUAUAAUAGAUAGAUAAGUUGUGAUUUUUGUAGUGACAAAUCUUGGUAUGCUACUAGGUGGAGAGAAUCAUCCCAUGUUGCGACUCUCUACAUGGAACAGAGGUGCCAUGACCUGGAGACAUAUCUGGCCCAGGACUCCAAAAUCUGUCCAUCCCUAGCCGAAUGUUAUCUGGUCAGCUACUUAACUUCUUCGUAAUUUGUUCAGUACUACUAGAAAGUAGAAACUAUCAACUGAGGUGGAUGUUAAUCAUAUUGCUACAGUUAGCUAGUACCUAGAAUUAACUGAGAAGUUAGCUUACAAAUUCAAAUUCCAGAUAUAAUUCACUGAGAAGUUAAUUAUAUUGCUACUGCUAGCUAGGAGUACCUAGUAUUCACCUCGUUUUCAUCUCCUACAGCAAAGGUUAUCUGCUCGUUUCCUUGGCUUCUUCACUUCUACCAUGUGCUUCCAAACAACCAUGCUGGAUAGUAGUACAACUCUCCGGCCUUCUGUUUGUUAUAUUCCAUCUGAUUUCUCCCGCCCUUGCUUAUUUCUGCAUCAUGAACUCGUUGUGUAUUUUGUACCUUGGCCAAUCUAAUCUAGCACCCCGUCGCAUUUGAACAACAGUUGAAUUAUUACGAUGACAAAUAACAGACCAGUUAACUUGUUAUUACAAACUCUGCUCUGCUUACGGAAACACUUUCUGACCGAUUCACUACUGGAAUCGAGUUAGACGCCGAGUGCCACGGACACUCGGCAAAGGGUCAAAACCCGCCGGCAAAGCCUUUGCCGAGUGCUGUACUCGGCAAAGGCCACCCGGCGUACACCUCUCUGGCAAACAGGAAUUUGCCGUGAGCUAAACAGUACAACUCGGCAAAAUAAAGUGACUUUCACAUCGCCUGGUUUUGUCAGCUGUUUGCCGAGAGUGGCUCUCGGCAAAGAUGCCACAGCCAACAACUGGCGCAUGCCAGUUUGCCGAGAGUGGCUCUCGGCAAAGCUGCCACAGCCAACUGCUAGCGUGCCACUUUGUCGAGAGCAAGCUCUCGGCAAAGAUCCGUUUCUAGACAACCUUUUACUGCUUUCCCCCUUAUCCCUGCCGCAAAAAUUUAUAUACAAUACACAGACAAGCAUUUCAAGUCUCAAUGUCUAACAACAAACUCACAUAACCAUUACAUAUAAUCGUUCACACGAACUUCUUUUGAGAUCACAAGGUAGCUCUUUAGUACAAAUGCCUACUUACUAAACAAUAAAGUAGUCAAUAAUGCAUUUCUACAUGCGACCACAAGAUAAAAGCAACACCACAAUUAUCACAAACUGAAGAAGAAUUAUCAAGUUCUUCCAUCCACUAAACUCGAUAAGCCGUUUCUGGCUAGCACAUCCAGUCAACCCAUCCACUGAACCCACUAAUACAGAUUUUCUCUUCUGCUUAAGCACAUACUGAUUGUAAUCAUACUCUGCCUUUUCUCUGCUAUUGAACGAGUCGUGGGAGCUGCCUUCAUAAUAAAUCACUUGUUCAUUGCAUUCAGACCAUGAAUCUUAGACUCCUAGACUUCUACCUCUAUACACCGCAUACCACUUCAUCUACAAAGAUAGAGAAAAAAGGCAGAGAAAUAAUGCAAAGGUUAAAAAUGGCACAUCAUACAUAAUCCACGUAAGCGUUCAUCACUCAGACAUUCAAAAGCAUCGCAAAUGGCAAUCUAAGAAGUCCAUAUCAGCACCUACAUGACUACAUCACUAAAUCAACGCCAAACUAUCUAGGUGGACUACUCAGAGGUGUAGUCCGUGAAACCGGUGAUCGUGGAGUCAGAGCACAUCGGGGCAUCCCCCACGGUGGAGGACCAAGCGUCGUCGGGAAUGUACGUCGGUGGACUCAAUGGCAUCGAGCCGUCACACUCCUUAUGUGGUGGGGCCUUCUUCUCUUUGGAUGGGGGACUCUUCUUGGCCAGAUCCUCAAAAUACUUUAUUAGGAUCAGCUGCGGGUCCUUCUCAAUGAGCGCCGCCAAGCGGUCCUCGGCGAGCUUCUCCUUUACCGCGGAGUUGACCCUAAUGGAAGAUGCGUCGUCGGAGGAAGCCAUAGCCACAAAAUCGAUCGGUGCUAACACCUUUCAUCACACAAUGAAAAAUAGCAUAAGAAUCAAACAUCAAAGAUUACUUCUAAGCAAAUUAAUCAUGAUGGACACUAUCUCACAGGACGAGUAUAUAUGGUGGAAUUCUCUCUGGUGGUGGUAUAUAUGGUGGUCACUUUCUCACGGAUAUUUCGACUUUCGGUGAUGGUCAAGCUGGGCGAGUCCAUCGCGCGUGACAACUGUAUAUCACAAGAAGAACUCGCCCAGAUUGACCGCCAUCGGCAAAGGACGAUUUUCUUUCUCCAAGAACAACUCUCAUCUCUCUCACGUAUAUAUGCUGGAACUCUCUCUGGUGGUGGUAUAUAUGGUGGACACUAUCUCAUGGAUAUUUCGACUUUCGGUGAUGGUCAAGCUGGGCGAGUCCAUCGUGCGUGACAACUGUAUAUCACAAGAAGAACUCGCCCAGAUUGACCGCCAUCAUCGAAAGUUUUCUUACUCCAUAUAGCAUCCAUACGAACAACAAGAACUAUUAGAUGCAUCAACAAUUAAUUAUCUAUACAAAAAAUUAACAAUUUUCUACAUUCAUCCAUAUUUCUUUGCAUCCAUCUAUGCAUUCAUGCAUACAUACAUACAUCCAUCCAUCUUUAUAUUGAUACAUAACAAAAACUAAAAAAAAUAUUACUACAAAAAAUAGUUCAUGCAUCAAUUCAUGCAUCAAUCCAUGCAUUAAUACAUACAUAUAUACAUUCAUACAUCCAUGCAUCCAUAUAAAAAUCCAUCAAUCCUUGCAUCCAAAUAAUUAUCCAUGCAUCCAUACAUACACUCAUGCAUAAAUACAAGAUCGGGGAGGGGGGAUGAAGCUCACCGAGAGGGGAGGUGGUGCCGACGGGUUUGCGGGGUCGCCGGCGGAGUUGGGAGGGGGGCACCNNNNNNNNNNNNNNNNNNNNNNNNNNNNNNNNNNNNNNNNNNNNNNNNNNNNNNNNNNNNNNNNNNNNNNNNNNNNNNNNNNNNNNNNNNNNNNNNNNNNNNNNNNNNNNNNNNNNNNNNNNNNNNNNNNNNNNNNNNNNNNNNNNNNNNNNNNNNNNNNNNNNNNNNNNNNNNNNNNNNNNNNNNNNNNNNNNNNNNNNNNNNNNNNNNNNNNNNNNNNNNNNNNNNNNNNNNNNNNNNNNNNNNNNNNNNNNNNNNNNNNNNNNNNNNNNNNNNNNNNNNNNNNNNNNNNNNNNNNNNNNNNNNNNNNNNNNNNNNNNNNNNNNNAGAGAGAGCGAGAGAGAGAGAAGAGACCACGCGGGGGGUUAAGUGUUCGCCGACCCUUUACCAAGCAUCUGUCGGUGCGGCUCUCGGUAAAGGAAUGAGACCUAGAUAAAGGUUUUACACCAUUUCUGAGAGAAACGCUCGGCAAAGGAUAUACCACACUCGGAAAUGGCAAACAUACCGAGAGCCACGCUCGGAAAUGACACCCCUCCCUCGUCUGUGCAAGGCAUAGGCAUGCCACAAGGACAUCACAAAUGAUUCCACAUGCUGCUACCCGGCAUGAUUUCAUGUGCCACCUUGCUGAUCUGCAAUUCCCGGCGAUGAAACCCUAACAGAGCAAUAAAUUUCUCGAAUAUUGCGCGCGUCCCCGAAAAAUGCGAGGCCGUGCCACGUGCCAUGCGGUUGCCCCCUCAGAGCACUAGAAGUUUCGAGUCCAAUGGAGCAAUAGGACCAUCACUUCCUGCACAAACCAGACACGUUCCCUCUUGAUACCCAGAUACUAGCUCGGAGACGGUGCAGUUUACAAGCGGCCUCAGGGGAGGCUUACUCAAAACGCGUCCAAACUUUUACCACAGCCUACAGAGGUCGUGUGAUGACACCGUGCCAGAUCCCAAGCAAUACUACCAUCGUACGAUUUUCUGAGGAUUUCAACAGUUGCAUCUGGAAUGACACCGAUGUACUUUUGGUAACCCGGUGGCAGGGCAUGCCCCUCCCUCGUCGGUGCAAGGCGUAGGCAUGCCACAAGGACAUCACAAAUGAAUCCCCAUGCCGCUACCCGGCAUAAUUUCAUGUGCCACCUUGCUGAUCUGCAAUUCUCGGCGAUGAAACCCUAGCAGAGCAAUAAAUUUCUCAAAUAUUGCGCGCGUUCCCGAAAAAUGCAAGACCGUGCCACGUGCCAUGCGGUUGCCCCCUCUUAAGCAUGAGAAGUUUCGAGGCCAACGGAGCAACAGGACCAGCACUUCCUGCGCAAACCGGACACGUUCCCUCUCAAUACCCAGAUACUAGCUCAGAGACGUUGCGGUUUACAAGCGGCCUCAGGGGAGCUUACUCGAAACGCGUCCAAAUUUUUACCACACCCUACAGAGGCCCUGUGAUGACACCGUGCUGGAUCCCGAGCAAUCCUACCAUCGACAUCACAAAUAGUCAUUUGUAGGAGAGGUGGGACUAAAUUUUGAUGGUGCUUUUAUCUUUACCGGGAGCCACUCUCGGGUACCCGAGUAUAGCCGAUAAAUCCAAAAAAAUACAUCAGUCAUCCAUGCUCUUCAGUUGAAGAAUAUACAUGAUGAAUACAGAUGAUAAAUCAUAUUCAUCCUUCAUAUCCUCCAUAUAGAGUGCAAGGAAGACCCAUACUUCUAACAAUCUAAUAGAUGAAUGUAUUUAAGCAGGUGUAGGACUUGCUCGGGGGGCGAGGUGGGACUAAACUUUGAUGGUGGCCUUAUCUUUACUGAGAGCCACUCUCGGGAACUUCUCAUUUACCGAGAGCCACUCUCGGGUAACAGCCACUAGAAGAUUCAUAGUGACUAUAUGGACUCUUAGUAAUGAUAGAAGACCGAAGCUUACUGGUUAAACAGGUCAUUUUGCUAGUCGGCAGGCGAGGUGGGACUAAAUCUUUGCCGACGCCACUCUCGGCAAAGAGUUGGAACCGUAACCGUGCCGUUAGUCGCCGCCGAAUGUGCCACGUGGCAAAACUUUGCCUUGUGUGGCCGGAUGGCCCUCGGCAAAUAGUGUCUUUGCCGAGUAUACCCUGUUUGCCGAGCAAUACUGUCGGCAUUGUCGUGUGUUUGCCGACUUACUCCCUUUGCCGAGUGCAACUCCGGCGUUCUUUACUUUGUCGAGUGCCUGUGUUUUGGCUCUGGGCAAAGACGCCGACAACUCCAGUAGUGAUUGGAGAAUACAUGUGAGAAACACUUGAAUUGGACGAUGUAUAAACAUCUGCAUUCCUACUAGUUGAUUGAUGACUACUGAAAAAUUGCUGAUGAUUACAUCUUUGAGUGCCUCUUUUUGGGAACCUCUACAGCAACGCACUUGGUAAUUCAGACUUACAGAGUUCUCAGCUGGAAAUCUACUACGGUGGACAUGGCAUUGCUGGUUUGGUUAGCCUUGUUCUUAUCUCGAUGGAUCAAUUGGUGCCAGAGAUGAACAUGGUCAGUGUGGUGUAUUGUCCAGCCCAAUAGCAAUCACUUCUGUCUACACACGUAUAGUAGUGAACACUCGCCCACACGGUGCGAAAGGACAUCCCAGGUAAACAUAGCAUGAACGCCGUGCAUAAGAAUCAUUGUUUGAUAUUACGUCUGAUUCUUCAUCAUCUUGAUCCAUGCAUCCAUAUCAGUAUCUUGAACUGUGCUUCUUGAAUGUGAAGGUGUUUCAGCCUUUCAGGAGUAAGAGAAUAAGCAACAUUGGAUUGUUCUUGUGGUCUUACGUCACAAAUUGUCAUGGUUUCAAUCGUUGCACUUGGAAGUUAUUUCGUGCAUGUCACAAUUGGAUCAACUCGAGAGCCAUUAGUUUCAUGAAAGGUUACAUCAAGGGGUGUACUUGUGGAAAAUAAAGCACGGUAGCGAGGGUAGCUUCCGGGCAAAACAUGAUCAGUGUAGUGUACAUUCCAAUCCUAUAGCAAUCAGUGCUAUCUACAGUAGUAGGGAACAGCGACAUUUUCCUGUAUUGAAAAGUACCCACAUACAGUAGCGACCAGACUCCGCGUACUGUACCGAGCAGUUCACCAUGCUGUACGCACAGGAACCCGGCUGUGCAUACGUGCACAAUAUAGGUUUUCCGCUUAGGGCCACUUUGAUUCGCAGGAUUUUGAAAAUGUAGUAAUAUGAAAAGUAUAGGAUUGGGGUGGCAUGCCAAAUUGAAUCCUAUAGGAUUAGCAAGGAGUGUUUGAUGCCACAUUAAAAACAAAGGAAUUAUAAAAAGAGGUUGGAGUGGAUGUUAGAUUUCCCAUGAAAUGUAGUAUAAAAGAUUCCAUAGAAAAAAUUCCUAUGGGAUCCAAUCCUAUGAAUCAAAGGGCCAACAUAGGAAAAAUUCCUAAGGAUUUCAAUCUUCCAGAAAUCCCAUAGAAUUCCUUUGAAUCAAAGGAGCCCUUAAUGUUUAGAAUAGCGACGGGCAAUAAUUAUGAAUUAAUUGAACAAUUAUUGUGUAAACCUCUAACCAGCGGACCAGAAGUCUCGUGGGUGUGACGCUGCUGCCACUGUGAGGAAAAAGAUGGGUUCGUGUAUACACAUGUAUAGCUGCCCACUGUAGUCCAGUUGAGGAAAAUGAUACUAGUACAUGUACAGACAUCUUCAGCACCCAAAUAACCCAAUCAGUGCAUGUAACCAUUGAGUUUUCUAUGAGCUCUUGUCCAGUUGGAGAUGAUAAGCACAGAGGCAUCACCAUGUAAUUUUAUUUUUUUAAAGUGGUGCUCUCCUCAUGCUCAAACCACAAAAUAGAAUACAAGCCCAUCCUCCCGAUAUGCCAGUUUAUUACACCAGCAAUGCUCAUCAUCCUUCUUGGCCUACUCCUUGGUCCACCACGGAGGCGGCAGCCCCUAGUCCGCUUCAUGCUCCAGGCGGCGCUUGUGCUGGAGCUUCACACAGAGAUCCCGCUCCUGGCGAUACUCUACUUCCUCAUCGUAGGGCUGCAUGCAUCGGCCUCUUGCUCGGUCAGCGCUCGUCGCACCAGCCCGUUGCCACCACCUCGGCAAAGGACAGUGUGACAGGUGGCAGAUCUGAGGUGGGCACCAAGUAUUUUGCCACAAAUCCUUGCCGCCUAAUCUCUGAUAUAGAGGCAGGAAACCUACCUCUGGAUCUGAGGCCACUUGACUGUCCUGGGCCAUUUGGGCCGUAAGGGCAUCGGACGUCUGCGUACCGGUUCAUAUGGGCACCAAGUCAGCAGGAGCUAGACUCCUGUGUCAUGGCCUAACAGAGCAGUCCGCGAACAAGGCUUUUUCAGGCAGGGUGGCCCUAGGAGCAGCCCACUCCCAUGUGCGUGAUAGGCCACGCAACCCUUUGCUUAUCAUGAUCAAUCGUCUAGAAGAAUCAUUAUUCGAUGUUACGUCUGGUUUUUCUUGAUCCCACAAGUUUUCUAAAGGGAUAAGUAUAUUUUUCGGCCCUAAACUCUCGAAAGUAUACAGAUCGCCCCUCUACUCUCAAACCAGCAAAACUUAGUCCUUCAACUUAUCAAAUCUGAUUUGUUUAGUCCCUCUACUCACUUGAAGUGGUUUUUCAAUUGACGUGGCAUGGUUUUGACCGGUCUUCGUCCAUGUGGCAAAAUUAUUCUAUCCUUUCAUCUUAUCACAGGUGUAGGCAUUUUGUCGAGCACAUGACGUGCUAUGUCCGCUGCUCCUAGCGGCAUGCCUCCGUCCUAGUCGGACGAGGGACUAAACUCAUCCGGUUUAAUAAGUUAAGGGACUAAGUUUUGCGGGUUUCAAAAUUGAGGGACCAUUUCUAUACUUUAAAGAGAAUUCAAGGAUGAAAAAUAUACUUUUCCCUUUCAAAAUAAUAAAGAGUACCACGCGAUGCACGUGGUAGGCUACUUAAUUCUUCCCGCCUUCCAAAAUAUCUUUGAUAGUGAUCAGCAAUACUGAUCACACUUAUUUCUUGCAAUAUGUCAAAUUUGAGAAUAGUGAUGGGCAAUAAUUUUUUUUCUCGAAUACGCACAAGCAUGCGUAUCAUCGCAUUAGAGAGGAAGCGGCAAAGAAGCCGGGUAAAACGCCUUUUGGCCAUUACAACACCAAUCACGAGGAUUAGCAGCCACACACACCCCAUGCGAACUACGAAACAUGCAUCACCUAGAUCAAGCCCAAGCCCAUGGCCAUGAGGCAAAUCACAGAGCUACCAAGCCGCGUCACAACCAACGCCGAAGACCUCUACAACAUGACCGAGACCCGAGGGCAGCACAAACCAACGUACCCCCACCCAUUUGUGCCAAGAAGAAGUCAGCAGGUGGAAGGCAGGGCCCGGGCAGACCUAGAGAAGGCGCCGUCGAGAGAUCACCAGCGUUGAUGUACAUUGCGCCUUGAGGCUCACGCCCAGAGCAGUUGCCAACACCGACUCGAGCCGCACCAACGAGACUCCUCAAGCAACAAGACGAUGCCUCCAAGAAGGGAACGCUGCCAUGACGCCGCCAUCGCCUGGUCCGAAGGUCGGACCAAGGGUUUCCCCCGAGCAUGAGGGAGGGAGUCAGGUCGGGGUCAAGACAACGCCUCCAAGGAGGGGACGACGCCCGCGGGCGUCGCCGUUGUCAGCCUCGGACAACGCGAAGCAGGGAUUUCUCCCAACCCCAGACCACGAAUCCCUAUGUCCAUCGGAGUUUCUCGAACGGGUCGACCACCGCAACGGGAGGAGAGCGCGCAUCUCGUAGCACCGCAUCCACCGCCACCACAUGAACCAAAUCAAGAACAGGGCACCACAGCCCUGCCCGGAUCGAUCCUGCCACCACAGCACCACCUCCACCGCGCCCACAGGACACCACCACAUCCACCGCGACCUGCGGCCUGCCUCAAUUACGCCGGCGAAGUGAGCCACCGGCAUCUGAGCCGCUACCGACCGCAGCACACGGAUCUGGGCAGGGAGAACCCGAGAUCCACCGCCACCGGUGUCCACAGCUGGCCCCCACGCUGCCCUCGAACCAUAGUGGCUCAACCCCGCCAAGAUCCCCUGGGGCCGCCGUCCCAGCAUCCGCAUGCACCAGACCCGCCGUCGUCUUGCGCAAGAGAAGCCCCAUGACAGGUUGUCGCCGAUGGAACCCAACCUCAGCGGCAGCCACCGUGCGCCACCAGAUCACCUCGCCUAUCCGGUUCAAGCCGGCCUGCCGCAGGCACCACGAAGCCGCCGAGACGCCAUCUCGCCAGAUCUGAGCGCUCGCCUCUCAAGGAGAUGCCCCGCCGCCAGCCUCCCUGGAACCUGUCCGGGCUUCGCUGGCGUGCUCCUCAGGCGGCGGCUAGGUGAGCGGGAGGACGAGGGUGGGAGGUGCCGGCGCCGGUGGNNNNNNNNNNNNNNNNNNNNNNNNNNNNNNNNNNNNNNNNNNNNNNNNNNNNNNNNNNNNNNNNNNNNNNNNNNNNNNNNNNNNNNNNNNNNNNNNNNNNNNNNNNNNNNNNNNNNNNNNNNNNNNNNNNNNNNNNNNNNNNNNNNNNNNNNNNNNNNNNNNNNNNNNNNNNNNNNNNNNNNNNNNNNNNNNNNNNNNNNNNNNNNNNNNNNNNNNNNNNNNNNNNNNNNNNNNNNNNNNNNNNNNNNNNNNNNNNNNNNNNNNNNNNNNNNNNNNNNNNNNNNNNNNNNNAGCGUUAGGUCGGAACGGUCCUGAAGCCAGCAUGUGCAUCGAUGGGCAAUAAUUGUUUAUUUUUUAAUUUUGCGAAUAGUGAUGGCAAUAAUUGUGCAAGAGCGUGCAAAUUCCAUAAAUACAAAGUGCGGCCAAAAUUAUCCCCAUUCAUUAACAUACACCAGCAAGUGUAAUAAGCAGAACUAGUGGACGCGGAGCAGAAACUUGUAUCAACUCCAGUAGAAGAAAAAAAACCUGAUGAAAAACAAGAAAGAAAGAAAGAAAACCGGAGAAAAAAGAAAAAAAGGAAAAGCCCAGUGAAAACCAAGAAGGUGAUAAAGGAAACCAAAAUAACAAGAAAAAGGAAAGAAAAGAAAAACCAAUGAAAAAAGAAAAGAAAAACAAAGCAAAAAAACCUGGAAAAUAAAUAGUGAAAACACGGCUCGUUUUGACUUAAGAAGGCCAGGCCUACUAUUUAGUGACGAAUGGGAGUCCACCGGGGCGCGGCGCUCUCUUUUCUUUCUCUUCCUAUUUCUUUCAAGUGUCCUCUAUUGGGCUGGUCUGUUACUGUAGCCUUAACGCGGUCUCGCUUAAAGCGAGAAAUAGUUCUUGUGGUCUUGUACAUCUAUAAGUGUUUGUAGGCCAACUGGCAAGGGCCAAUAGAGCGGUAAGGGCCUCGAACGUCUGUAAGGGCAACCCUUGCAGGAGAGCGCAGUGUCAUAGCCCCACCACCCUCGGAAGGACAUCCCAGGUAAGCACAUGAACGUGGUGCACAAGAAUCAUUAUUCGAUGUUACAUCUGAUUUCCUUGAUCCUGCAAGUUUUCUAAAUCUAUAUCUAUACCUAAUAAUAAAGAACGGAGGCUUUCAUAAUUCUUCAUACGUCACCUCUUUAUAUCUAUUGAUUCUAUGUUAAUCAUAAAGAUUAACGACUGAGAUUUAAAAGACACAGUUCAGAAAUUUCGUCCCCGCAUUCGUUCGUCCGUCCGUGCGCUUGGCUGUGUGUCCAGGUCGUAUACAACAAGAAAAGCUUGGUUGUUUCCUUAAAAAAAGGCUUGAUUGUAUCCGUGUCCAAGUCUUCAAGAUGGGGCAGUAGGAGGCUGUGACCGGGUAAGAUGGCAAGAAAGAUGAGGAGAUCGAGCAGCCACGAACGAGGACCAUGCAGCACAAGGACUCGACGUUGGCACACCGAGGCCGUCUAGGGCAGCAACUCAACAGUCAACACGGCCGUGGCUUGGCUGCCGGGACAGGAACCCGCCACCGCAGUGCUGGCUUAGCCGCCGCCAUGACUUGAACAAUGAUUUGCACGAGGGGCGCCACUCGCGCAGACUCGACCGCCCUGAUGCAGCCGCACUGGCCACCACACCUCUGCAGCUUCACGCCAUGGUCUGAACCAGAGAGCCCGUCUUCUUCAUCGUCAACUGGCCGCAUUUCCGCCACGAUCCUCACGUCCAGGGCGCCGCGGCACGACCAAUCUGCAGCACGGAGCUGCUGGUAAUUAGUCCCAUAUAAAGAUCCUACUGAUUAAUUAAGGUAGCUGAUUGCUUGCUUCUUGGGCGUACAGCGUGUUCGUCUGCUCUCCCUUCCUUUUUAUCCCAGUAUGCAAGAUUUUAACAUGAUUGAGUUCUCGUGGGCACUGGUUUUGUGGUGGACAGAAGGCCAUACAAAGAGUAAAUGGGCAAUGGAACAGAUAUGACAGAUACAUUAGAUCGUGUGUGCCAGACUUUCGACGUGUAUGCACUACUAGAAUUUUUCCCUUUGCCGAGUGUUAGGCCCUUUGCCAAGUGCAUUAUGUCGGGCACUCGGCAAUAGUAUCUUUACCGAGUGCUACACUCGGCAAAAAUAUGAAACUCGGCAAACAGAUACUUUGCCGAGUGUCGUGGACAAAACGCUCGGUAAAACAACAAAACUCGGCAAACAGGACUUUACCGAGUGCUACACUCGGCAAAAGGGGGUCUUUACCGAGUGUCACACUCGGCAAAAGGAGGUCUUCACUAUGCCGAAUGGUUUUGGCUGUACAGAUUGCAUACGGCCUUGGAUGAAGAUGGUCCAAACAUAAAAGUUGUUCAUUUUCACGAGACGGAUAACUUUGAUGUUGACAACUUUUUCAUUUGAGGCCAUAUUAAUUGCACUUUUUGCCAUGUAAAAAUUUAGUCUUAAAUGACUUAGGCGAUGAUCAUAUUCAUUGCAUCGUUUGUUAUAAUGUUCCCAAAUUAGACACAUAGGUGUGUCUUGACAUUACAAACAAUGUUGCCAAAUAGGGUUCCCUAAUUUUUCGAAAAAAAAUAUUUUUUUCCAUUUUCUAAGUGUCAACAAUGAGUAUUUUUUGUGAAGCAAGUACAAAAAACAGGCUGCAAAAUGGCACCACUUCAAUUUUCACAAUAAGUAGACCUUAUUUUAUGAACAAUGCCCAAGUUUCAUGGAUUUUCUGGAUCUCUAGCUACUUUCACGCAUUUAAAUGACUUUAUGUUGAUUUCUCAAAUGUAAUUCAAAUUUGAACUACAAGUGUGUGAUAGCUCCGUCCUAAAAGUUAGAAAAAUAUAUUUUUAGAUACACAAAUAGGCAUUAUAUGGGAGAACCACUUCGAGUUUUGAGAGAUUCAAGCCCUUGCAAUGAAUAGCCAUGCUGCCCAUUUUGACCCCAUUUUGAAGAAAAUGAAUACAAGUUCAAAAAAUGCAAUCAUUUUGCAUGGAGUCCUUUUAUGUGUACUAGUUGCAAGGAAAAAUACCAAACUUUCAAUACUAUAAAUUGGGAACAAAAUUCUUCACAAAACGGGCUAUCAUGUAUGAACAUUGAUGGCUUUCAAGUCAAAUUACCAGUAUGAUGGCCAUAUUCAUUGCAUAGUUUGUUAUAAUGCUCCCAAAUUAGACACCUAGGUGCAUACUGACAUUAGAAACAAUGUUGGCAAAUAGAGUUUCCAACUUUUUUGUACAAAAAAUUCAUUUUUCAUUUUCUAAGUGUUAAAAAUGGUUAUUUAUUGUGAAGCAAGUACAAAAAAUAGGAUGCAAAAUGGCACCACUCCAAUUAUCACAGUAAGUAGACCAUAUUUUAUGCACAAUUCCCCGGUUUCAUGGAUUUUCUAGUUUUCUAGAUACUUUCGCACAUUUAAAUGACUUUAUGUCAAUUUUCCAGAAAGUAAUUCAAAUAUGAACUGCAAGUGUGUGAUAGCUCAAUCAUAAAAAUUACCAAAAAAUAUUUUUAGAUACACGAGUAGUCAUUAUAUGGCAGAACCACUUAGUGUUUUGAGACAUUCAACUCCUUGUGAUGAAUAGUCAUGUCAACCAUUUUGACCCGGUUUUAGAAAAAAUGAAAGAAAAAGAAUACAGGUUUAAAAAAUGCAAUCCUUUCGCAUUGAGUCCUUUUAUGUGUAGUAAUUGCGAGGAAAAACAACAAAGUUUAAAUAUAACAAAUUUGAAAAAAAAAGUUCACAAAUCGGACUAUCGUGUAUGAACAUUCAUGGCUUUCAAGUCAAAGGACCAAGGUGAUGGGCAUAUUAAUUGCAUAGUUUACUUUAAUGUUCCCAAAAUAGACACAUAGGUGCAUCUUGACAUUACAACCAAUGUUUCCAAAUAGACUUUCUAACUUUUUUGUACUAAAAAAUCAUUUUUCAUUUUUGAAGUGUCAAAAAUGGGUUUUUUGUGAAGCAAGUACAAAAAACAGGGUGCAAAAUGGCACCACCCCAAUUAUCACAGUAAGUAGACCAUAUUUUAUGCACAGUUCCCCAUUUUCAUGGAUUUUCUAGUUUUCUAGCAAAUUUCGCACAUUUAAUUGACUUUAUGCCGAUUUUCUGAAAGUAAUUCCAAUUUGAACUACAAGUAUGUGAUAGCUCUAUCGUGAAAUUAGGAAAAAAAAUAUUUUUAGGUAGACAAGUAUCAUUAUAUGGGAUAACCACUUAGAGUUUUGAUAGAUUCAACCCCUUGCCAUGAAUAGAGAUGCCGGCCAUUUUGACCCCAUUUUAGAAAAAUGAAAGAAAAGGAAUACAUGUUCAAAAAAUGUAAUCCUUUCGCGUGGAGUCCUUUUACAUGUUCUAGUUGCAAGGAAAAAUACCAAACUUUCAAUAUGACAAAUUUGAAAAAUAAUCUACACAACACGGCUUAUCGUGUAUGAAUGUUCAUGGCUUUCAAGUGAAAUGACCAAGGUGAUGACCAUAUUCAUUACAUAGUUUAUUAUAAUAUGCCCAAAUUAGACACAUAGGUGUAUAUUGACAUUAUAAACAAUGUUGCCAAUAGAGUUUUGAACCUUUUUGUAUAAAAAUAUCAUUUUCUAUUUUCUAAGUGUAAAAAAGGGUGUAUUUUGUAAUUUUCUAUAUAUUAAAUAUACACAUCCACUGGGCUUGAAAUUUUUGUACACUCAAUAUACUUCAUUACAUGAUCCGUGACAAAAUUUGAUAUUUUUCAGUGGUUGUUUGCUAUAUUUAAAGUAUAUUCAAAACAUAGCAAAGAAACACAUAAUCCACCAAUGAGCACACAGCACACAGAUCAGUGACGUGGCGUCAUGGGAUAGGCCAAACUCCUCUCUCUCUCUCCCCCCGCAUGCACUCACCUUAUCUCCUCUCAAUUUCAGCCGCACAAACCUCAUCGCAUCUCUGUCCCCUCUGUCUUCACGCACGCACCUCACACCUCGGCUAGCAGCCUAGCACCGCCGUCUGCCGUCUUGCAAGCCACCGGCCGACGACCUCCCUCGCGCGCGUCAUGGAGGACGGGGACCUCCCCAUGACUGGUCACUAGUAGAAAACAGGGUUUUGGUCACAGGGCAAGAUUCACAUUAGUCCCGGUUCAGUCACACUAGUAGAAAAGGGGGCUUUUGUCCCGGUUGGUAAGGGCCUUUAGUCCCGGUUUUUGAACCGGGACUAAAGGGUCGUUACUAAUGCCUCCCCCCUUUAGUCCCGAUUCUUACACGAACCGGGACUAAAGGCCGUCCACGUGGACGCAGCCUGGAGCUCCACCUUUAGUCCCGGUUGGUGUUACCAACUGGGACUAAAGGAAAUUUUAUGAUAUUUUUUUUGAAAAAAAAUUUGCGAAUUUUUUUAUUUUCAAAUUUUUGAAUUAUUUUAACCUCUAAUCUCUAAUCACCACCCCUCAUCACUGCUCAAUUUAUCCUCUAAUCUCUAAUCACCCCUCAUCAUUCCAAAUCAUCUAACUUCCCGGAUGGUCACCCAUCCUCUCACUACUCCAGCCUGAGCACGCUUAACUUCCGGGUUCUAUUCUCCCUCGUUUCCAAGUCUGCACUGGUUGUUUUCCUGACAAUAGUAAGAUGUCAAUCCUAUUAACCCUUAGGAAUUUAGCUUGAGCAUGAAGUGACACAUUUCACUGUUUGAGUUUCAAACUAUUUUUUUUAAAAAACAAUAAUUAUUUAAUAACACUAAUAUUUCUAGAAUAAUUAGUCUGACCAUUGUUUGACCACAGUUUGACCACAGUUUGACCAGAUUUGACCAAAAUUCAAAAAAACUGAAAUAAUUAUUUAGUAACACUAAUAUUCUAGAAUAAUUAGUUUGACCAUUGUUUGACCACAGUUUGACCACAAUUUGAUUUUUUUUAAAUUUUUUAUCCUCUUCAGAUCUUAAAAGCCCCGUAUCUUUUUUUCUGUUAGGUUUUUGAGGAUUCUGAAAAUGUUUAACGGGGUUCCCCCAAUUAAAUUUGGAUGUAACUUUUCGAGGUGAUAAUUUUUCAUAUAAAAAACUUUUUCAUCCAAGUUCGUAUGCAAAAGUUAUGCCCAUUUUAAGAAAUUUCAGAGAGAUUUUGCAAAUAAAGUCGAAAUUCAUAUUUGUUAAUUUUCCCAACAACUAGACCACAUAUCACAUGGGAAACUUAUUUUAUUUUAUUUUUUGACAUUUCCAUCAUUUUCUUUUGUUUUUUCUAAAACUGAAAAGGCGGUCCACGGGGACCGGGACCAAUGCUCACAUUGUUGGGGAUAUACCCCGAGGUGUGACCCGCCCAGGAGGGGCCGGGUUACACCGUUGGCGACGUGCCGGCGUGGCGUGGUCGCGAACCAGCGAUCCACGCGCCAAAUAGGAUUUGCCGGCACUACUUGUAGGAGUCAGGAACACCUAUUUGACGCAAUUUGUGUCAAACAGAGUUUUUUUUAGAAAGGUCAAACAGAGCUACGAUGCACUUGGCGACCACCAUUGGGCCGUCCCAUUAGAGGAUGCGAGCAAGCCACUGUAAUUUUAGAAAUGUGAUUUUUGAACUAUUCGAGCACAACAAUGUCGCAACCAGGCCACUGUACAUGUGCUGCCCAUUUUCAGAAUACAUUUUUUUUAAAUCCAACUUUUCUAAAAUUUAUCAACAUUUCUCAAAAAUGAAAUGAAAUUGGAAUAAAAACCCUUUUUUGAAACAGACAAACAACUAUUGAUUUUUUUUAAUAAAACAUGAUUUUUUAAAUUCACACACAUUUUCCAAAAAUGUACAUUUUUUAUUGUUUGAACAAAGUUUAAAAACAUGAACAAUUUAUAAAAAAUACUAACACUUUUAGAAAUCCCCUAUCUUUUUUUAAACAUGAUUUUUUUAAAGUUUGAAUGAUAUUAUAAAAUGGCAACACAUUUUGAAAUUCCGAACAUUUCAUGAAAGAUACUAGUAUUUUUUAUAUUCCAGACUUUUUUUGAAAUGUAAAUAUUUUUGGAAAACACAAAAUGUCUGAACAUUUUUCCAAAAUGAAAACAUUUUUUGAAUUGGAGAACAAAUUUGGAAACAAUUUUCUUAAAAAUUCUAGCAAUUUUUAAGAUUAAGUUAUUUUCAUAUAUUCUGGAUUAUUUUUUGAAAAAUGUGAACAUUUUUUGAAGUUUUGAGCAUCGUUCAACAUGUUUUCAAAAAUAUAAAUAAAAAACGUGAAAGUUAAAUUCCGAACAAUUGGAAUUAUGCUGCUAAUCGACCCGGUGAGGUCGCCGAAGCUAGUAGCCUGGGCGGAGUGGUUCAGGAUCGCUGAGCCGGUCAAGGUGCCGCUGCCUGGGGUCGACAAGCUGGAGGUGUACAUCACUAACGUACUUUAGCCAAAGUGGAACGUUGCGGUCACUGGUAACUAAUUAAAGAUCGUGUCGCACCGAUAAUUCCAUUGCCUUCUUAGUUGUUGAGUUGUUGAACUGUUGUCGUUUCAUGAAUGGUGUGCAGGCGUGCAGUCUAUUCAAUCUGAGUUGUUGACAUGCCGUUUCGUGAACAAAUUGAAGCGUCGUCGAUCUUGCAUGUCUUUGUCGAGAACGUUUCCAAAUGUGACUUUUUUUUUUCUGUUGAGCUCUUUUAAGACCUCGCAUCUUAAUUACCAGUAUGUUCAACUAAGCAGAUUAUUCCCGAGCUCUGCAGGUAGUGAUUUCUAAGGGGUGGAUUUUACUUAGGAUAUGAUUUUUUCUUUGAGAAAUAACUGGGAAAUCCUUAUCCGAAUAUAUUGCUCAAAAGUGUUAUGAGGACUUGCUCCUAAUUUUCUUUACAGGAUACAUGAAGUGAUAAACAUAACCAAUCAAUUACGACAACAACAAAAAAGACCCUUCAAACAAAGGUUUUUUCUCUGGCCGCCGGCCUCUGCUACACCUCACUUGAAGUUCUACCGACCCUUGCCUCGAGAAUUUUUCGCUAUUGUCAAAAAAAAAUCGGAUGAUUUUGAAUUUGAACGUUGAAAAGGUACCAAAUAGUAUUCACAUGCAACCAUUAGCAUGGGAUGGACUCCUCUGCUCCGCACAUAAGGCUGGACCAAAAACUCAUAGCUCAUGAGCGCUAGCUCAACUCGUUAAGCUUGUACAACUGACGCUAAUGAACAAAGGCAAUCACUUAUUUCAGCUCGCAUAACGUAACGAGCUUAACAAACGAGCUAAUGAGUUUCUCAGGCAACUCAUUAAACACAUUAGUACAACACAACACAUAUUAUUAUCUUAAGUGACAAUAUUUCGUGGCACCCCAGCCCAUCGGAGGGAUCAAACUAGCGCACCUCCUCAUGGAGUUACCAUAUUCCUUCGUAAAGGCAUUUCUCCGUGUGGCUCUUCACGCACCGGGGGAAACCAUAGGUCUGAUUCAUCGGAUUGGACAAAGGCAGCGUUGUAGCGUCAUCCUCUACUUAAAGGUGUUGUCUUGGUUGCUCGUGAAGUCCUUGGUCUUGCAAUGGAAGAUGUUGGUCGCCAUGCUUGGUUUGGGCUGCUUCUCAAGGCUUGGGCAUCUGGGGCACAACAUACGAAAUCGUUGACCCUUCCUCCAUGGUCGCCUGCUUCCNNNNNNNNNNNNNNNNNNNNNNNNNNNNNNNNNNNNNNNNNNNNNNNNNNNNNNNNNNNNNNNNNNNNNNNNNNNNNNNNNNNNNNNNNNNNNNNNNNNNNNNNNNNNNNNNNNNNNNNNNNNNNNNNNNNNNNNNNNNNNNNNNNNNNNNNNNNNNNNNNNNNNNNNNNNNNNNNNNNNNNNNNNNNNNNNNNNNNNNNNNNNNNNNNNNNNNNNNNNNNNNNNNNNNNNNNNNNNNNNNNNNNNNNNNNNNNNNNNNNNNNNNNNNNNNNNNNNNNNNNNNNNNNNNNNNNNNNNNNNNNNNNNNNNNNNNNNNNNNNNNNNNUGAUUCCGUACGUGCUGGAGUUUUGGCGGCACGACGGAGGUUCUCCCAUUGGUCAUGACGCGGUCUGGUGUGAUGUGUCUCGUCUCCUUGUGUUCCUUGGCCAGAGGUCGGGCUAGGUGAGUUUAGGGUUGUGGUGUUUUCCUCUAUUGUGUUCUUACCCACACUUGUUAUGGCGCCUCGUUUUGUUUUCUCCUAACUAUCAAUGCAAAGAUGCGCAAUUCUUUGUGUAUUCGCCAAAAGAAUUCUACUACUAAACGGUCACGGUGAUUGAUCUCUAAAAUACAAAUUAUUUAUUAGCUUGGUGACCGGUUGGCAAGAAGCUGUGUAGGAUGAUGUUCUUCACAGGUUGUCGAGACCUCUUGCCUCGCUACUUUUGUGACAGCGUGGUGCCACGCCUCCUUUUACAUUCUUUCAAUUUUGUAUUAUUAUUUUUUGUAUGGUUGUGGCUUCGAGGCAGACGAAAGUGUCUUCCAGCUUACCAUGGCAGUACCUAAAAUAUGGGGUGGAAAGCCUCAUUUUGUAAAGAAAAGUUUGAAGCAGCCUUGUGUUGUCAAGUUGCACAGAAUUUGACAAGUCGAAGCAUCGCAGGAUGAAGACAGGAUGCAAGUUGGCGCAAACGUCUGACGCAAUUGCUUGAGGUUAUCAACAAGAAGCCAACGCCCAACUAGGGUGGAAGGAAGCACUACUUGCCAAGCACUGCCUAUCCGAUGCACCUAGUCUCAUUUCAGUGCACAAGUUGGGCACGCAGAGAAAAUUCCUCCGAGAUAUCUGUCGGCUGAGACGGCCCCCGCGUCGUCCGUGUGGGCGACACGGGAGGCGAUAAGAUCCGGUUUUCCAGGGCCCUCCUCUGUGUGCGCCUGCCCCUCGCCGCUGCCACCGGCCAGCUCCGUCGGGCUUGCCCUCGCGGCUAGCGGCGGCGGCGGGGAUCCGUUCCUGAGGCGUGAUGGGUGGCGUAUGGCUCUGCACGGCCGGCAACCUAAAGCAGCGGAGGUGGUUGUUGCGACGGCGACGUUGAUCCGGUAGAUGGCUGGCUUGCUGCAACGUGUACGUGACCCUUCCCCUCCCUAGCGCCGUCGGCAUCACAGGCUGCAAACGCUGCAACGCGGAGGAAAGGGAGUUGCCACAGCCACACAUCCCGACCUCGAGAGUCGGCUCCCUAGGGCCGGCGCUGCUCCUGGGCGCCUCUUUGGUGCAGGGGCAUAUGGGAUGUGGCGGUACACAUGCAGCGGGUUGUCGUUGAUGUCGCCCGCGCAGCCGGGAUCGAUGGUGGCGUGGCGCCAUGGAUCUGGCCAUGAUGACUUUGACGGCGAUGAUGACGAAGCUUGUGGCGGCGCAUGGUGGUGUCGUCUAAUAAUGAUAAGCCAUUGACUGCCACUCGGAGAUGGUGCAUGGCGUCCGGAGCGUCCCCUUGGGAUUUCGGUGGUGCCGGUGAGCUUUCUUCCUCGUCAAUGGUUCGUGCUGCGGAUAUGUCGUCAAGUUUGUGCAUGUUUGCAACAACUGGGAUCAUGGCAAGUGGAGGAGAUAGCAUAUGAAUUCGAUUGGGUGGUGCUUUUCGAGUACCCGGUCUUGAGCUCCGGGGUGAAAACCCUAGGUCUGUCAUCUUAUUGGCUAUACCUGGCAAUGGCGGCGCUUUGAGCGUCGUUUCCCUGGUGAAGGCAUUGCUUGGAGUUUGCUCGGACUUGAUCUUCAGGUUGAAAAUCCUCGAUCCGACCUUUGGGUGUUGGAUCCGGUGACGGCGUCACUUGUGUGUCGUUCCCUUUUUGGAGGCGUCGUUUUUGAAGAACCUCUCUCAUAGUAUGUAUGAUGUCAUGAGAUAGUUGAAGCCAAGGGUUGUCGCUGUACAUGCUAGUCGCUCUUCUUAUCGCUUUGGGACUGUUUUUUUCCUUUUUCUCUCUGCCUAGGCGUAGCUUUGGUCUAGUAUGAUUUAGCUCCUUGCCGGCAAGAUCUUUGUGUGCGUGUGCUUGUGUUGGCUGUGUGCAUUCUACCUAUGCAGAGGCCGGGUGUCUCUCAUUGUAAUUGUAUCACUCGAUGCUUUAUUAUGAGUCAAUAAAAAUCACCCUUUAUCGAAAAAAUAUAUAUGUCGGCUACUCGGAUUCGGUCUGUCCCUCUCUGACUAGAUAGUGUAGGUAGUAAAUCUUGUAGUAGUGUCUACUGCAGCUCACGUCAUGCGUGACAUAGUAUGGCUGCCAAAGUCGAGUCACCUUGACUGGCAGGCCUUCCACCCCUUGCUGCCCAAGGUAGGUGCUACCGUCGUUUUUGUACAGCUAUAGAAAGGGCCGAUGCCCUGCGUUGUAGAAGCAAACCAAUGCAAAGCAAUCCAUUUGAGCUUCACAAAACUACCACUCCAACGUGUGCUCCUCUCUCAAGUGUGUGUCCGUGUGCUAGUAGCCUACAGCACCGUUUCUCUCGGGAGGUACUCCAUAUACACGUUGAUUAACACGUAUACACAUCCUUCAACGACAAUCAUGGUCGGCGCUCAAGAGCAAGGGCUGAAGCUGCUGGUGCCGCGGAGCGGCGUGAGCAUAUAUGCCAUCCGCGUCCAGAUGCCGCUUGCCAUGAAGGGUCUGGCCUACGACUACCUCCCCAAGGACCCCGGGUGCAAGAGCGACCUACUCCUCGCGUCCAACCCCGUGCACAAGACGCUGCCCGUCCUCAUCCACGGCGGCAGGCCCGUCUGCGAGUCGCUCAUCAUCAUGGAGUACCUCGACAACGCAUUCCCCGGCAACGGCGCCUCCAUCCUCCCCGCCGACCCCUACCGCCGCGCCGUCGCUCGCUUCUGGGCCGCCUACAUCGACAACAAGGUUUGUUCCCUUCCCUCUCGUCUAGCUAGCUAGUUUGAGCUUGAAGAAUUGGAGUUGCAUCCCAGAGGGGCUGUUUUGUUGCCACAGAUGUUCCCUUCGUGCAUCGGCAUUCUCAGUACGGCGAAGCAGCAGGAGAAAGCCGACAAGGUGGAGGAGACCUUGGCGGCGUUCGGGCUCCUAGAAGCCGCCCUGGCAGAGUGCUCCAAAGAAGGGGAGGCGGAGGCAGAGGCGCCGUUUUUCGGUGGUGGCUCCAUCGGGUUCCUGGACAUUGCGCUCGGGUGCUAUAUUCCCUGGUUCGAAGCGAUAGGCCGCCUUGCUGGCAUGCCGCCGUUCCUAGACGCAACGAGGACACCAAAGCUUGCUGCGUGGGCGGGGCGGUUCAGGGCCGCCGAGCCGGUCAUUGCCCUGCUGACUGCGGUGGACAAGGUGGAGGAGUACAUCACUAAGGUGCUUUAUCCAAAGUGGAACGUCGCGGUCACAGUUGGUAACUAAUUAAAGAUGGUGUCUUUCCAUUGCCGGCGGGGGAUUGUGUCGAUCCAAUAAUUACUCUGCCAUUGCCGGAGCAGGCGUGCACUCUCUUCGAUCUGAGUUGUUGACAUGCUGUUGCGUGAAUACAUUGAAGCUUCGUCAUCUUGCAUCUCUCUGUCAAGAACGUUUCCAAAUGCAAUCUUUUUCUGUUGAGCUCUUUUAAGACGUCGCAUCUUAAUUACCAGUAUGUUCUACAAAACCGAUGGUUCUACCGGCUCCUACCCAAAAAAAAUGGUAUCGAGAAAACCAACUUGACUGGAACAUGACUGCCAUCACCAAGGAGACAGGAAGAAGAAGUGCAGUAAGGAGUGCCACUGGCAUUUUUGAAGGACAUCAUGAAGUGAUACCUUGCAAAUUGGAACAACUUCACCCGGCCGCUUUCUUAGCCACCAUCCACUGACUGGGUAUCAAGAGUAGAUGCAAAUCAACAUGUCAGCAUUGUCGAAAGGCAUUACUCCAGCGAGACAACACUGCAGACACAAAUAUUGCUGGCUGAUAUCGUGCUAUCACUGUGAGGUGUUCUGCCAACGCCAUAGAAGCGCGUUGCAAAAUGAGUUUCCAUCGAACUGCAUGAACCGUGACUGUAAGCUCCACCAUGGGGAUACCAAUAAGCACAUUACGAGAUGAGGCUGGCCGCCCACGCCAUCAAAGGGCACCUAUCAACCGAGACUACACCAAGAUCACAAAGCUCAUUACAUCACACCACCUGACGGAGUUGAGCAUGGAUACCCUGAGAUGGAGCAUAUGGAAGCACUAUGAUGUGAAUGGAGUGUCGCCGCCAAAACCCUAAAAAGCACCGCUGCCGAGGAACGCAAUGAUCCACGAGAAGUGUAAAGGACGGGGUUCCCCUGCAAUGUCUCCUCGAAAAGGGAAUGACAUGACUGGCUGCAAAUAUGCACAAGUGGUUAGGUAUCUAAAAAAGAGAAAAAUGUGUGUGUAUCACAAAAUGUUACUCACUCCGUCCCAAAAUUCUUGUCUUAAAUUUGUCUAGAUACGGAUGUACCUAAUACUAAAACGUGACUUGAUAUAUUCGUAUUUUAACAAAUCUAAAAUAAGAAUUUUGGGACGGAGGGAGUAGCAAAUAGUCCACGUGAGCCAAGACAGUGCAACGGGGAUAACACCAAGAACACGAAGCUCAUCACAUCACCAGGAAUUAUUUGCUAGUAUUUUGUGAUAUGGCUUCCGUCCAGGUGGCACGCUGGUCGGUCACUACAUAUAUAAGUAGGGCAACCUGUGGAAUAAAAUAGAAAUACAAGAUAAGAGGAGGAAAAUGUCUACUAAAUCAGUUAAUUACUGACACUCGGCAACAACAUCCAAGUAAAAAGGCCAGAUUCAAAAUGCCGGCAACUGAUGCCGAUAAUUGAGCUAUCAAAUGAUAAGAAAGUUACGUGUAUUAUUUUGAUCCCCGCCAUGAUGUAGGUGCAAACUUGCUCGUCUAGAUGCAUGUCAUGUAGUGACACUAUGCAAUAUUUUAAAUCAAGAUGCUAAGCUGAUAAGCUCUCGUUUGGAAUUCUUCCAAACUCUAUGACCUGUAAGUUUGUAACCUCAAUCAAAUUAAUGGUACUUGUUAUUUAAAGUUUGGUUGUAUGCGUACAACAGUAAGAUUUGAUAUCUAUAUACAAAACUUUCCCUAGUUAGUCUUGGUACUCCUUGUUUAAAUAUGCAAAAUAGCCAGUCGUGCUCUCCUCCCUGCGGUGGUUGUUCCUGUCGGCAAUUUGGUUUCCACAUAUUUGGAUCGUGAUUCGUUGAUUUUUGGGAAUGCUCGUUCACAGGUCGGAGCAAAAUCUCUGCUCGGCUUGCCGAUGCUGGCAGUGAGAAGACCUACGGGUGUCGUCCCCUUCUUGGAGGCGUUGCCAAAGCCUUUCCCCGUGCCCCAGUUCACGCACCUGGAACCAUAGGUCUGGUUCAUCGGAUUGGACAACGGCAGCGUUGUAGUGUCAUCCCCUUCUUAAAGGCGUUGUUUUGGUUGCUCGUGAAGUCCUCGGUGUUGGAAUACAAGAUGUUGGUCGCCAUGCUUGGUUUGGGCUGCUUCUCAAGGCCUGGAGAUCCGGCGCGCAAUGUACGAAAUCGUCGACGCUUCCUCCAUGGUCUCUAGGCGCCCAGGGUGGGGGAUACGUUGAUUCCGUACGUGCUGGAGUUUGGCGGCACGACGGAGGUCCUCCCGUUGGUCGUGACGCAGUCUAGGUGCGAUGUGUCUUAUCUCCUUGCCUUCCUUGGCUGGAGGUUGGGCUAGGCGAGUUUAGCGUUGUGGUAUUUUCCUAUAUUGUGUUCUUACCCACACUUGUUAUGGCGCCUCGUAUUGUUCUCUCCUAAUUAUCAAUGAAAAUAUGCGCAAUUCCUUGUGUAUUCGUGAAAAGAAUUCUACUACUGAACGGUCACGGGGAUUGAUCUCUAAAAUACAAAUCCUUUAUUAGCUUGGUGACUGGCUGGCAAGAAGCGGUGUAGGGUGAUGUUCUUCACGGGUUGUGGAAACCUCUUGCCUCGCUGCUUUUAUGAUAUCGCAGUGUCGCAUUUUACUUUCUUUCCAUUGUUGUAUUUUUUUGUAUGGUUGUGGCUUCAAGGCAGACGUAAGCGUCUUCCAGCUUAUCAUGGCAGCAGCACUAAUUGGAUAGCUUUCUGUAAAAUAUUUUUUGCAAAAAAAGAAAAGCUUUCUACUCCCUCUGUACCAUAAUACUUGUAGUGGGGGGAACAAGGAGGGAGUAUAAAACAUGGGGCGGAAAGCCUCAUCUUCUAAAGAAAAGUUGGAAGCAGCCUUGUGUUGUCAAGUUGCAAAAAAUUUGGCAAGUUGAAGCAUCGCAGGAUAAGGACAGGAUGCAAGUUGGCGCAAACGUCUGACGCGUUUGCUUGAGGUUAUCAGCAACGAGCCAAUGCUCAACUGGCCAAGCACUGCCUAAGCGAUGCACCAAGUCUCAUUUCAGUGCACAUGCUGGGCACACAAAGAAAAUUCUUCCGAGAUAUCUGUCGCAUUCGGUCUGUCUUUCUCAGGCUAGCUAGCUACUUGCAGUCUUGCAUACGUUAUCCAGAAGAGAAGCAGCGAGAGGCCAGGAUGGUGCACCUCAAUUUUCUGUCCUUCAUUUUCUGUCGACGGACUGUGGACCAACACAUGGAACUGUCUUUUUCUCUUCAUCUAAUACCUUUUCCCGUGCCGCGGACGGCAAGAAAAAUAAUUGGCCUCCAAUUAGUUUGAAGCAUCACAGGAUCAAGACAGGAUGCAAGUCGGCGCAAACGUCUGAGGCAUUUGCUUGAGGCUAUCAGCAAGGAGCCAACGCCCCCCUGGUGUAGAACGAAGUACUACUUGCCAAGCACAGCCUAACCGAUGCACCUAGUCUCAUUUCAGUGCACAUGCUGGGCGCGCAGAGAAAAUUCAUCCGAGAUAUCUACUGCAGUUCACGUCAUAACCGAUGCACGUCACCUUGACUGGCAGGUCUUCCACCACUUGCUGCCCAAGGUAGGUGCUACAAUCGUUUUUGUACAGCUGUCCAGCGUUGUAGCAGCAAGCAUCCAUUUGAGCUUCACAAAACUAGUACUCCAACGUGUGCUCCUGUCUCAAGUGUGUGUCCGUGAGCUAGCUUCAGUAUUAGUGCAGUUUAGCUACUAGUUGGAACUUACGUUGACACUCCUGUCAUCUGCGUGUUGUGCACUAGUGUGUCCGUGUGCUAGAGGCAUUUCAUAUACACGCCAUUAGCACGUACAUACGUACAUCCUUCAACGACAAUCAUGGACGGCGAUCAAGAGCAAGGGCUGAAGCUGCUGGUGCCACGGAGCGGCGUGAGCAUAUACGCCAUCCGCGUCCAGAUGGCACUCGGCAUCAAGGGUCUGGCUUACGACUACCUCCCGGAGGACCCCGCGUGCAAGAGCGACCUCCUCCUCACGUCCAAUCCCGUGCACAAGACGCUGCCCGUCCUCAUCCACGGCGGCAGGCCCGUAUGCGAGUCGCUCAUCAUCAUGGAGUACCUUGACUAGGCAUUCCCCGGCAACGGUGCCUCCAUCCUCCUCAACGAACCCUACCGCCGUGCUGUCGCCCGCUUCUGGGCCGCCUAUGUCGACAACAAGGUUUGUUCACUUCCCUCUGAUCUAGCUAGUUUGAGCUUGAAUAAUUGAAGUUGCAUCCCACGGGUGCCGUUUUCUUGACGCAGAUGUUCCCUUCGUGCAUCGGCAUUCUCAAUACGGCGAAGCAGCAGGAGAGAACCGACAAGGUGGAGGAGACCUUGGCGGCGUUCGGGCUCCUAGAGGCCACCUAGGCGGAGUGCUCCAAAGAAGGCGAGGCGGAGGCUCCGUUAUUCGGUGGCGGCUCCAUCGGGUUCCUGGACAUCGCGCUCGGGUGCUAUAUUCACUGGUUCGAAGCGAUAGGCCACCUUGCUGGCGUCGCCGUUCCUAGACACGUCGAGCUGGUCAUUGCGCUGCUGACUGCGGUGGAGAAGGUGGAGGAGUACAUCACUAAAGUGCUUUAUCCAAAGUGGAACGUCGCGGUCACAGCUGGCAACUAACUAAAGAUGGUGCGCAGGCGUGCACUCUCUUCGAUCUGAGUUGCUGACAUGUUGUUUCGUGUAUAAAUUGAAGCUUGGUCGAUCUAGCAUCUCUCUGUCAAGAACGUUUCCAAAUGCAAUGUUUUUCUGUUGAGCUCUUUUAAGACGUCGUAUCUUAAUUACCAGUAUGUUCUACCAAGCAGAUUAUUCCCGAGCUCUGUGCGUACUGAUUGCUAAGGGAUGGAUUUUACUAGGGAUAUAACUGUUUUUUUUUUUUGAGAAAUCACUAGGAAAACCUUACCAUAAUAUAUUGCUCAAAAGUGUUACAAAGACAAUCCUGCUAUUUGGAGUAGUUUAGAUGGUUAACCAACUCUCAGAUAAGUGACAUAUUAUAUAAGAAGAGGCUAGUCCCCAAAAUUUGGAGUAGUUUAGAUGGUUACAGUAGUGACUCAGUCUAUGGAGUGCAGCAUGACUUCAGAUGCAGCUGUGUAAGGCUACUUAUAGUGGGGAGUGUCUUAUGCUAGUAUCAUGCAUAUGAUAAUAGUAUAUGAUCUACCUAUAUUACUCUAACCCUCUCUCUUCUUUAAUUCUCUACCACAUCAGCGUAUUUGCUAUUUUCGAGUGUAUAAUACCGACUAAAUUACCACCACUAUGGCCAGCCUAAUAUGCAUGAAGUCGGUCAAGCCUCGAAAACAAAAAAUCAGUCAGACUUGCCGGCAAAAGUGGAUCACCGACUAAAAUAAAACUACAUUGUAUUACUCCCUCUGUUCCUAAAUACAAGUCUUUUAAGAGAUUUCAAUAUGGACUACAUAUAAUCGUAGACGGAGCAAAAUAAGUGAAUUUACAGUCUAAAAUACGUCUAUCUACAUCUGUAUAUAGUUUUUAUUGAAAUAUCUAAAACGUCAUAUAUUUAGGAACGGAGGGAGUAGCAUGCAUGCAUGCACCCGGGCUUAGGGCAUCUCCGAUAGCUGUCGAUCAUUUUCCUUCCUUGUUUUGAGCAAGUGUACAUACGUUCCAGCUAUAUGGCAGGAGAAAAGAAGGUGCCGCUGAAACGUGGCUAACUAGAGGCCAAUUAUUUUUCUUACCGCCGCGCGGCACGGGAAAAGGUAUUAGAUGAAGAGAAAAAGACAGUUCGAUGUGUUGGCCCACGGUCCGUCGACAUAAAUUGAGGUGCACCAUCCUGGCCUGUCGCUGCUUCUCUUCUGGAUAGUGUACUCAACGCCACACAAUACCGUAACGUAUGCAAGACUGCAAGUAGCUAGCUAGCCUGAGAGGGACAGACCGAAUCCGACAGAUAUCUCGGAAGAAUUUUCUUUGUGUGCCCAAUAUGUGCACUGAAAUGAGACUUGGUGCAUUGGUUAGGCUGCUUGGCAAGUACCACCCCAGUGGGGGGUUGGCUACUUGCUGAUAACCUCAAGCAACUACCACCCCAGUGACGUUUGCGCCAACUUGCAUCCUGUCUUGAUCCUAUAGAUCCCAAAGAUUGGAUGGUUAUGUGGUUCCCUGAUUUUCUUCUAAUUGUUCUGCCAUCCAUGCUCAACUCCGUCAGGUGGUGUGAUGUAAUGAGCUUUGUGAUCUUGGUAUAGUCUCGAUUGAUAGGUGCCCUUUGAAGGCGUGGGCGGCCAGCCUCAUCUCGUAAAGUUUUUAUCGACAUACCCAUGAUACAACUCGCGGUCAUGGUUCGUGCAGUUCGGUGGAAACUCGUUUUUGCAAUGUGCUUCUAUGGUGUUGGUAGAACACCUCACAGUGAUACUCCCUUCAUUUUUUAUACAAGGCCACAAACUCGAAUUACACGUACCAAUGUAAAAUUUAAUGCCUGCUUUACAAGUUAACUUUUCUUCUUGUUUACUAGGAUCAUUAAUACUCCGCAUGCAUGCAAAGAAACUGAAUGGAGGAAGUAGCUGACUGUCAUUAUGACUGCAUGCAUGCAAGUAUUAAACAGGUUGUUAGUACGAGAAAAUAUCAUUAAUUUUGAUUUGAUUAUUG